AAUGAACGCUAGCGGCGUGCUUGAGGCAUGCAAGUCGAACGAGAAAAUUUUCUUCGGAGAAUGAGUAAAGUGGCGCACGGGUGAGUAUAACUUAGGUAAUGUACCUUUUCGCUGGGGACAACUUCGGGAAACCGAAGCUAAUACCGAAUAUUCCCAUAGGAACUGCGGUUCUUUUGGGGAAAGCCUUCGGGCGCGAAAAGAGCAGCCUGAGCCCCAUUAGCUUGUUGGUAGGGUAACGGCCUACCAAGGCGACGAUGGGUAGCUGGUCUGAGAGGAUGAUCAGCCACACUGGUACUGGAACACGGACCAGACUCCUACGGGAGGCAGCAGCUAGGAAUAUUGCGCAAUGGGGGAAACCCUGACGCAGCAACGCCGCGUGAGUGAGGAAGGCUUUCGGGUCGUAAAGCUCUUUUAUAAGGGAAGAAAAAAAUGACGGUACCUUAUGAAUAAGCACCGGCUAACUCCG
Molecule: ribosomal RNA, 466 nt
Filed under: uncultured Pseudomonadota bacterium
Lineage: Bacteria; Pseudomonadati; Pseudomonadota
Description: bacterial SSU rRNA
Rfam family: Bacterial small subunit ribosomal RNA
Source: RNAcentral